Molecule: long non-coding RNA, 4600 nt
Filed under: Homo sapiens (human)
Lineage: Eukaryota; Metazoa; Chordata; Mammalia; Primates; Hominidae
Description: non-protein coding lnc-SRPK2-1:16
Source: RNAcentral
GCCAUUUUGCUUGUGGGCUGCCGCCCGCCGUUGCCUCUCCGCGGAGGCUCGAAGAUAGCAAACUGGAGGCGGUGAGGGGGACGGAAUCUCUGUCUUUCUGACAACAGAUGCAUUCAACAAUCCACCGAAGGUUUGAGGAAGUGUCGGUAUUCGGUGGGACUGGUUCUUUCCCCCUUUCCCCCAGUGGCCCUCAAGUCUGGAUAUAGCCCAGUCUGGCCUCCAGCGCUGGGUGAACCCGGUUGGGGUGUCACUCGACGCCCACUAGGGGCUGAGGAGGCUCCAGUGCGCAGGCUCCGGGCACCGGAUAAAAGCGGAGCUGGCGAGUCUAGUGCUGUCUCGAUGGAGGAGCAAGAAACGGAAGAGGUCGGGGGGAGAAGCAGCCGGAAAAAUGCAGCCACCGUCAACGCCGCCUCCCUGCCACCGUGCUUCGGGGUAAAAAGCUGCCGUUGCCGUCGGUGCAGUUGCCGUCGCUGCCUCCUAUACUUCUCUUGGCCUCGGGGAAGGAUUUCCCCACCGGUGGGACAAUGUGCGGGGAGGGGAGUGGGAAUUCCUUUAUAUGGCGGUGAUUAAACGAGGGAGGGACAGACAGUGAUCUCGAAGAAAAAAGGGGGAGACCAAAGAAUAAAAGAAGGGUUUCCCCACUAAAAUGACACGGCGAUUCCGGCUCUUGUUUUGGGGGUCUUUCCCCGAAAUGGUUUCCGUCUUCCCCUUGCCCCGCAGCGACCCAGAGCGCUGGGGGAAGCGGAGUGGGGAGAGGCAGAGGCGGUCUCGGCAGCCAAUCAGCGCCUGAUGUGUCCUGUCGGGCGCGUCGUGGUUGGCUGGCGAUGACCUCAUCCUGCAGCAGCGGGUGGGGCCAAAGCCGUAGGGGGAGGCUGUUGCAAAGGUAGAGAGGGAGAAGUGACGAUGGUGAUCGUUGCUGCCGCGGCCGAUAUGGAACCCAAGCAGUGGCGAAGGGAAUCGCAAGGCUCUUCCCUGACCAUUUUCUACUGUCCCUGCGCGAGGUGAGGGCCCCGGCUCGGCCUCUGCAAAACUUUGGGGCGCUGGCGCGGAGGAGGAGACAGGAUUUCUCCCGUGACUUUUGUAACUGCGUCAGGGCAAGAUGGCGCUGGGUCUCUUUGGGGCGCGGGGGGAGAGGCACGUCCACCGCCGCAGCGCAUGUGACCGGGCUGCAUUCCUGUGGGGUUUGGCUCCGACCCAGGCCGGGGCGGGGGAGGGGACAGGGCUUGGGCGGAGGAGACUGUGGUGCGGUCGGCGUUGGCGGCCUGAAGAGGAAGAGAUGACUGUUGGAAAGCGUUCCCCUCCCCCAUACGGCAGAACAGCUGCGGCUCCCAGGGGAAAGCCCCCGCAGGACAGUCCUCGUGGGGUGUGACGGCUGUUGGUGGAGAAGGUUUGGCGCCCUAUUUUCUUAUCUGCCUUUCUCCCCGCAAAGUAUACUUAUGUAAGGUGGUAGUUCCCUGACGUGGGACUCGGAAUCAACUAGGAGUCCUUGAGGGCCUCUGGGAGGCCUAGCGAGGGGUAGACCAGCUUCUGGGGGUACAACGUCAAGGAGGAUCGAUUACUUUCUGAGGAAACAGUUUCUCAGAUUGAAAUAGAAAAGUAUUUCCAAAGUUUGGAAACAAAUUUAAAGGUGUAAAUAACACCCAGGAACACUUUAAUUGCUUUGAAAAGGCAUAAGCAGCCAUCUGAAUUUAAGGGCCCUUUUCAGACUCUUCCUUCCUCCUGUGAUUCCUGUUCUUUAUUUCAGUUUUCUGUCUGUACAUCCCUUAAGAAUAUAGUUUUGUCGGUGGGAUUCGCUCUUUUGUGCCCAGGCUGGAGUGCAGAGGCGAGAUCUCGGCCCACUGCAACCUCCGCCUCCCCGGGUUCAGGCGAGUCUCCUGCCUCAGCCUCCCAGGUAGCUGGGAUUACAGGCGCCCACAACCACACCCUGCUAAUUUUUUCUAUUUUUAGUAGAGACGGGGUUUCACCCCAUUGACCAGGCUGGUCUCGAACUCUCGAGAUCCGCCCGUCUCAGCUUCCCAAAGUGCUGGGAUUAUAGGCAUGAGCCACCGCGCCGGGCCUGCUUUUUUUUUUUUUUUUUUUUUUUGCACUGGGCAUUAGUAAUACGGAAUAAAAGCCGUGUUUUAAACUGUAUUAAGUUGUAAGACUUUUCAGUACUUUCAAGUCUGCUUUCUUUCUGUUGCCCUUUUGUAGUUUUUAAAAAUAAAAGAUGCAAUUAUAAGCACUUCCGGUGAAUAUUAUUCCUUAAGGUUCCUGCAUCAUCAUGAAAUUUGAAGCACUUUUAUAGUAGUACAAACUAUACUUUUAGCUUUUGAAAUCUCGAUAGGAGAAAAUAUCCAGCAGUUUUAGGGGCUAUUUUGGCAUAUUCAUUAAGGUAGACUAAGUUUGUUUUUCGUUUUUCCCACUUAGCCAAACUAGUUAAAGUAGUCAAAACUAGCAAAUAAUUUUUAAAGGGCUUCUCCUUUUGGGUGGUGUAGAGGGUGGGGAGUUAUUCAACAAACACAUUUGCAGCCAAAAUCUGGCCUACUUCUUGGCAGAGCGCUUAUACUUGGUGCUACGAGAAAAUGAUUGCUGGACCUGAAAAGAACCUGAGGUCAAGGUUGUGCUAUUUCCUUAAGUCUUAGUUGUAGGCUCUUGGUAGUUUGAAAACAAGAUUGGGUUUUUAAUUCAUUUGUGUAUCCUUAAAUCCUCACUAGUUUUUGUGGAUUUCUUUUUUCAGUUAUAAGCAACUGAAUGUGGAUGAGCUAUAAAUAUUUAGUACAAAGAAUGUAAUUUGUCCACUCUGAAUAGAAAGUAAGCAUUAAGAACUCUUGAAUGUCUUCAAGGGUUACUUUGUUACGUGUAAGAUGUCUCCCCUUCCUUCAUAGCAGUUUUUAUUCCUGCUUAAAAAGGGAACUAAAUAUGAAGUCAGUAGAUUUUAAGGUAAUUUUCAGAAUGUUUCUACUUUCACCGUGCCUUAAUAAGGAAAAAAGGCCAUUUUCCAAGCGAAUGGAAACACCCUUUCCUUGUUUUGUGCCUUUAAUCAGCGUGUACCUUCAUUGUUCCUGAUUGCCAAAUCCACGAACUUCUUGAGCUCUCAAUUUUUCUUGACUUUCCUAUGGCAUUUUAAAUACUGUUCAUACUUGGAAUUACUUUUCUUUGACUGCCUUCAUACAUUCAUAUAUUCUGCCUGGGCAAUUUCAUUUGGGCCUAUUAUGUUCCAAUACCUCUCCAAUUUUCACCUCCAUCUUAGCUCUGCCAGCUUCAGUGCCACAGGUAGGCAAUGUAAAAGUUUACUGGGGACCACAGGCUUUCUGAGCUCAAUAAAAAUACUAAGCUUGGUACUUGUUUUUUAAGAAUUUUCUUCCCCCAUCCCCUCACAAAGAUUAUUUGAGUAAAUUACACCCCAACCUCCUUUUCCUUGUUUUUGUUGAAAUUAUUGUCUCUUAACUUUGGAACAUUGCAGUUGCGGUAAGCUUACUAGGUUCACAUAGCAUAUCUUCUGGUGUGUUAAAAUUAAAAUGCACACCAUCUCAAAAGUGCUAUGCCAUUUCAUACCUUUGUGCUUUUGUCCUGCUACCUGGAGUGCGUCUUUCUCACUUCUGGAUAAUACAAUUUGAACCUUUUCUUUGCCUCUUGAAACUGCAAAAUCCCUACUCGCAAGUAAAUGUGUCAUUCUUUAUGUUGAUAACCCAGCCUAGUGCUUGACACUUGAUGGGCAUUCAGGUAUACAUGGUUUUUUAGAGAUUGAUAAGAUUAACUGUGCAGUCUAUAAACUGUAAAUACUGGCUUUUAAACUCUUUUAAAGGAGCUCUUUUGAUAAACAAUUUGGAUAAGAGAUGAAAGGUUAGGGAGGCUCCAGGCAAGGCAGAAGACUGCUGAUGGCCCAGAGAUAGUUCUGCCCCAAAAAGGUGGGAAGAAGAAAAAAACUGAGCUGGAUAUUUUUAAGGAAAUAUAUUUUAUAGCAUUUUUCUUUAAUGCCUAGUUUUGCUGCAAGCACUGAAGUUUAUCCUGCAUUUGUAUUUCUUAUUUGAAAAAGAAAUGGCCUUUGGGGUUUGUUUUGUUUUUUGUUCCUUUGUAAGCACACUGCAAAAGCGGCGUUGUCAGCGUUGUCUUUUGAGGUAUCAAACGUGCUUUCAGUCAGCAAAUAUCUUGUAUAUAGUACCAUUCCUAAUAAACUAAAUUGGUUAUCAACCUAAUACAAACGGUACUUCAUACAACUUAAGCCUAAACUAGAUUAGAUUAUGUAGAAACUUAUUCUUAGAGAAUAUAUCGCCUUAAUAUUUCUUAUCCUGAAAAGAGUAUUUCUUAAGUGCCCCUCUCAAAGUAUAUCGAUUAAUAUUUGUCUCAAAUUUAAAACUAUAUCCUGGUUUUUCCCUUACAGUUGUUUAGCAAGUAAAUGUUUACUUACUAAUUUAUUUUCUCCCAGACUUCAUUCUACCAGUUUAAGCUUAGCUCAGUUUUGUUUUUUGGUUUUGAGAAGGAGCUUUGCUCUGUCACUCAGGCUGGAGUGCAGUGGUACGUUCUCAGCUCACUGCAGCCUCCGGCUCCUGGGUUCAAGCGAUUCUCCUGCUUCAGUCCGUGAGUAGCUGGAACUACAGGCGCACACCACCACGCCCAGCUA